GAUGAACGCUAGCGGCAGGCCUAAUACAUGCAAGUCGAACGAGAUUAAGAGGCUUGCUUCUUAUGAAAGUGGCGCACGGGUGCGUAACGCGUAUGCAACCUACCUUAAUCAGGGGGAUAGCCCGAAGAAAUUCGGAUUAAGACCGCAUAAAAACACAGGAUAGCAUUAUCCAAUGUUCAAAUAUUUAUAGGAUUAAGAUGGGCAUGCGUGUCAUUAGCUAGUUGGCGGGGUAACGGCCCACCAAGGCGACGAUGACUAGGGGAUCUGAGAGGAUGACCCCCCACACUGGUACUGAGACACGGACCAGACUCCUACGGGAGGCAGCAGUAAGGAAUAUUGGUCAAUGGAGGGAACUCUGAACCAGCCAUGCCGCGUGCAGGAAGACAGCCCUCUGGGUCGUAAACUGCUUUUAUUAGGGAAUAAACCUUUCUACGUGUAGGAAGCUGAAUGUACCGAAGGAAUAAGGAUCGGCUAACUCCGUG
Molecule: ribosomal RNA, 482 nt
Filed under: uncultured bacterium
Lineage: Bacteria
Description: partial 16S ribosomal RNA
Rfam family: Bacterial small subunit ribosomal RNA
Source: RNAcentral